RNAcentral lists this long non-coding RNA (2311 nucleotides) under Oreochromis niloticus (Nile tilapia). RNAcentral's name for it is "lncRNA (ENSONIG00000029939.1)". The record is from RNAcentral. Lineage: Eukaryota; Metazoa; Chordata; Actinopteri; Cichliformes; Cichlidae.
ACCAGCAGGUGGAGGUGGGGGUGGAGGAAGGCUCAGAGUCUGUCCUCCUGCCCUGCAAAACAAAACCUGACCUGCCUGAGGACACAAGAGUGGAGUGGACUCGCUCUGACCUCAUGAUGGUCCGUGUGUAUCCAAACAGAAGCGACCUCCUUAAAAAACAGGACAACCUUUACAGAGAUCGAACAAAGAUGAACAAAGACCUGCUGAGAACUGGAGACCUCAGUCUGACCCUGAAAUACCCCACAGACUGGGACACAGGAGGAUACAUCUGCACCAUCUACAGGGACGAAGACAUCCUGAGACAGAAAGUCGUGCUGCAGGUCAAAGAACAGUUUCCAUUCUGGACUGUAGUUCUCCUGAUUCUCCUGGUUCUCCUGGUGGUUCUUGUGGUUUCUGGAGGUCUUUUAUUUCAUUUCCGGCACUAUUUCAUGUCAGUUUAUAAGGUGGAGGUGGAUUCAGGGGUGGAGUCUGUCCAGCUGAUCUGCAAAACCACAGUUUGUCUGCCUAAAGACGCUAAAGUGGAGUGGAAGGACAAAGACAACAGGAAGGUCCACGUGUAUGAGAACGGCUCUGACCAGCCUGAAGAACAGGACGAUAAAUACAAGAACCGAACAAAGAUGAAGAGAAACUUACUGGAACCUGGAGACCUCAGUCUGACCCUGACAUACCCCACAGAUGGAGACAACUCCACCUACACCUGCAUCGUCUACAGCAGGAUGGGAAAUAUCCUGAUGAAGAAACAAGUGAAGCUGAAAGUUGGAGGUCAGUACUGUAGAUACAGGUCAGAGGUCAGACUCAUGAUGGUGGUUCAGUCUCAGUGGGCUCCAUCCAAUAAUGUUACAGUGUUAGCAUGUCUGAUGUUUGUGGCUGUUUUGGUUUUUAUUUGAUUUCCACCCAAAUGUAAAAGCUUCAGCAGAUGAACUGUAGGAGCAAAGUUCAUGUGUGAGACUUCAUCUGAAAGGUAACAUCUUCUAGUUUCUGAACAUGUGUUUGUUUAGCAUGUGGCUAAAACACAGGCUAAGCUAAGUCAGUUCAAAUCUCAGUAAAAACCUUCUUUGGUCCUCAUCUAUAAUCAGUCAUAUCUGAGUCACAAUAACUAGAAGAUGAUUUCUAGCAGAGCUGUGAAAAUCUCCACAUCCUUUCUCCAUGUUAUCAUCCAAAGCUGUGUGAAGUUUCAGAGCUCUGCAGCUAACAGAGACUUUCAGUUUGCUGCUCUCUUGCUCUGACAGCUUCAUUCUUAGGGAGCGUUAGUUCUCUGUUUCACUUUAUUCCACUUAUUCAGUCUGAUGUUCUCUGAUCUGUUUCUCUUGUUUAGUGUCUUAAAUGCUGCCAGUGCCUCUCUUUGCUUUAACCAACCUUUCUCUUUAUUUCUGAGCUUUUUAAGGACUUUAACUGAUGCAUCAACCUUUGAAAAUGGAAAGAAAUCAGUCAGAUUCAUGGCUGCAUCAAAGUGUCACAUGUAGUUCUUCCACAUCAGCUGGAUUAUAUCUAUAGCAGCAAACAGCAGCUGAUCCACAAAUCUUUGUCUGUGUUAAUAAAGUUGGAUCAGUUCAAAUAGUUUGUUGCUCUGCACUUGAAAGCAGCAGUUUUUCUAAUGCACCACCUUCAUGUUUCCUUCAUAUUUGAAUCCCCCUGUAGAUACUGACAGGUAACCAUGUCACACAGAGCUCAAGCCUUUGAAUCCAGCUGUGAUUGUUGAUUUUCUAUUGAAUGGACUUUUUCAAAUCCAGCUGUAGGCCUGUGUUUGUGAGCUCAUUAACAGCUGUUUAUUUAGAGAUACGUGGUCCUCACAGGACAGCCACUACAAACAUAUGAUUUUAUAGAAUAUGAUGCAUUACUGCAGAUUCAACACAAUAGAAAGGAUUUGAAAUGAGCUCAGCCUUAAACAUGUGCAGCAGUAAUAUUGAUCCAUAGACACUGAUGGGAACAUUUUUCUGCACAAUAAGUACUUUGACUUUUCAUACUUUAUGUCCAAUUUGCCAGUACUGCAGUUUUGUGUGUAGUGAGGUGUUUUCAUGGUGUUUUAUUGGUGCUUUUACUAAAGGAAGGCUUCUAUCAAAUUCUUCCAAAUGUUGUCAAACUGAGCUGUGUGAUGAAGUGAGUGUGACAGAAACACUCAGACUGUGUUUCUCUGCUUCAUCAAGUCAAAUCUGGUCCUCAGAGACUGAAUAAAGUCAUGUCCCACUAACAGCAGCUCCAACAGUCUGUUCACUGCUUUCUUCCUGUCAGUCUUCAUCUUUCUGCUGCGUCUCCUCUUCACACUGACCACUUUCUAUCUAACAGUGAGCUCCCAGUGAAGCAGCAGCAUUCA